Molecule: ribosomal RNA, 253 nt
Filed under: uncultured bacterium
Lineage: Bacteria
Description: partial 16S ribosomal RNA
Rfam family: Bacterial small subunit ribosomal RNA
Source: RNAcentral
GACAGAGGGGGCAAGCGUUGCUCGGAAUUACUGGGCGUAAAGGGCGCGUAGGCGGAAUGGCAAGUCGGUCGUGAAAUCCUUCGGCUCAACCGAAGAACGCCGAUCGAAACUGCCGUUCUUGAGGAUUGCAGAGGAGACUGGAAUUCCCGGUGUAGCGGUGAAAUGUGUAGAGAUCGGGAGGAACACCGGUGGCGAAGGCGGGUCUCUGGGCAAUUCCUGACGCUGAGGCGCGAAAGCGUGGGGAGCAAACGGG